RNAcentral lists this ribosomal RNA (515 nucleotides) under uncultured bacterium. RNAcentral's name for it is "bacterial SSU rRNA". It matches the Rfam family "Bacterial small subunit ribosomal RNA", at positions 32 to 518 of the family's 1533-position model. The record is from RNAcentral.
AACGCUGGCGGCGUGCCUAAUACAUGCAAGUCGAACGGUCUUUUCUAUGGAAGCUUGCUUCCACUGAGAAGAUAGUGGCGAACGGGUGAGUAACACGUGGGUAACCUGCCCAUAAGAGGGGGGAUAACAUCCGGAAACGGGUGCUAAUACCGCAUAGUUUUCUUGAUCGCAUGAUCGGGAAAGGAAAGACGGCCUUUGUGCUGUCGCUUAUGGAUGGACCCGCGGCGUAUUAGUUAGUUGGUGAGGUAACGGCUCACCAAGACGAUGAUACGUAGCCGACCUGAGAGGGUGAUCGGCCACAUUGGGACUGAGACACGGCCCAAACUCCUACGGGAGGCAGCAGUAGGGAAUCUUCCGCAAUGGACGAAAGUCUGACGGAGCAACGCCGCGUGAGUGAAGAAAGGUUUUCGGAUCGUAAAACUCUGUUGUCAGAGAAGAACAAGUUGGAGAGUAACUGCUCCAGCCUUGACGGUAUCUGACCAGAAAGCCACGGCUAACUACGUGCCAGCCGCAGC